AACGAACGCUGGCGGCAGGCCUAACACAUGCAAGUCGAGCGCGCCCUUCGGGGUGAGCGGCGGACGGGUGAGUAACGCGUGGGAACGUGCCCUUUUCUACGGAAUAGCCUCGGGAAACUGAGAGUAAUACCGUAUACGCCCUUUGGGGGAAAGAUUUAUCGGAGAAGGAUCGGCCCGCGUUGGAUUAGGUAGUUGGUGGGGUAAUGGCCUACCAAGGCGACGAUCCAUAGCUGGUCUGAGAGGAUGAUCAGCCACACUGGGACUGAGACACGGCCCAGACUCCUACGGGAGGCAGCAGUGGGGAAUAUUAGACAAUGGGGGCAACCCUGAUCUAGCCAUGCCGCGUGAGUGAUGAAGGCCUUAGGGUUGUAAAGCUCUUUCAGCUGGGAAGAUAAUGACGGUACCAGCAGAAGAAGCCCCGGCUAACUCCGUG
Molecule: ribosomal RNA, 433 nt
Filed under: uncultured bacterium
Lineage: Bacteria
Description: partial 16S ribosomal RNA
Rfam family: Bacterial small subunit ribosomal RNA
Source: RNAcentral